RNAcentral lists this ribosomal RNA (1151 nucleotides) under Arthrobacter sp. RNAcentral describes it as "bacterial SSU rRNA". It matches the Rfam family "Bacterial small subunit ribosomal RNA", at positions 46 to 1215 of the family's 1533-position model. Lineage: Bacteria; Bacillati; Actinomycetota; Actinomycetes; Micrococcales; Micrococcaceae. The record is from RNAcentral.
GCUUANCAUGCAGUCGAACGAUGAUCUCCAGCUUGCUGGGGGGAUUAGUGGCGAACGGGUGAGUAACACGUGAGUAACCUGCCCUUAACUCUGGGAUAAGCCUGGGAAACUGGGUCUAAUACCGGAUAUGACUCCUCAUCGCAUGGUGGGGGGUGGAAAGCUUUUGUGGUUUUGGAUGGACUCGCGGCCUAUCAGCUUGUUGGUGAGGUAAUGGCUCACCAAGGCGACGACGGGUAGCCGGCCUGAGAGGGUGACCGGCCACACUGGGACUGAGACACGGCCCAGACUCCUACGGGAGGCAGCAGUGGGGAAUAUUGCACAAUGGGCGCAAGCCUGAUGCAGCGACGCCGCGUGAGGGAUGACGGCCUUCGGGUUGUAAACCUCUUUCAGUAGGGAAGAAGCGAAAGUGACGGUACCUGCAGAAGAAGCGCCGGCUAACUACGUGCCAGCAGCCGCGGUAAUACGUAGGGCGCAAGCGUUAUCCGGAAUUAUUGGGCGUAAAGAGCUCGUAGGCGGUUUGUCGCGUCUGCCGUGAAAGUCCGGGGCUCAACUCCGGAUCUGCGGUGGGUACGGGCAGACUAGAGUGAUGUAGGGGAGACUGGAAUUCCUGGUGUAGCGGUGAAAUGCGCAGAUAUCAGGAGGAACACCGAUGGCGAAGGCAGGUCUCUGGGCAUUAACUGACGCUGAGGAGCGAAAGCAUGGGGAGCGAACAGGAUUAGAUACCCUGGUAGUCCAUGCCGUAAACGUUGGGCACUAGGUGUGGGGGACAUUCCACGUUUUCCGCGCCGUAGCUAACGCAUUAAGUGCCCCGCCUGGGGAGUACGGCCGCAAGGCUAAAACUCAAAGGAAUUGACGGGGGCCCGCACAAGCGGCGGAGCAUGCGGAUUAAUUCGAUGCAACGCGAAGAACCUUACCAAGGCUUGACAUGGACCGGACCGCCGCAGAAAUGUGGUUUCCCCUUUGGGGCCGGUUCACAGGUGGUGCAUGGUUGUCGUCAGCUCGUGUCGUGAGAUGUUGGGUUAAGUCCCGCAACGAGCGCAACCCUCGUUCCAUGUUGCCAGCGCGUAAUGGCGGGGACUCAUGGGAGACUGCCGGGUCACUCGGAGGAAGGUGGGGACGACGUCAAUCAUCAUGCCCCUUAUGUNUGGGCU